Molecule: ribosomal RNA, 1512 nt
Filed under: Leuconostoc pseudomesenteroides
Lineage: Bacteria; Bacillati; Bacillota; Bacilli; Lactobacillales; Lactobacillaceae
Description: bacterial SSU rRNA
Rfam family: Bacterial small subunit ribosomal RNA
Source: RNAcentral
UGGUUUCGUCCCUAGAGACAUGCACGUCGAACGCACAGCGAAAGGUGCUUGCACACAUUUCAAAGUGAGUGGCGAACGGGUGAGUAACACCGGGGACAACCCUGCCUCAAGGCGUGGGGAUAACAUUUUGGAAACAGAUGCUAAUACCCGAAAGAAACUUAGGGUCCCAUGAUAAAAAAUUAAAAGGCGCUUUGGCGUCACCUAAGAGAUGGAUCCGCGGUCCAUUAGUUAAGUUGGUGGGGUAAAGGCCUACCAAGACAAUGAUGCAUAGCCGAGUUGAGAGACUGAUCGGCCACAUUGGGACUGAGACACGGCCCAAACUCCUACGGGGAGGCUGCAGUAGGGAAUCUUCCACAAUGGGCGAAAGCCUGAUGGAACAACGCCGCGUGUGUGAUGAAGGGCUUUCGGGUCCUAAAGCAAUGUUGUAUCCGUAAAAACCACCAAGAAUACGGAAUUGAUUUUAGUCUGAAAAUGACCAUACCACUGAAAGCGGAAAAACUUUCAAAGAGCCCUGCCAACAGCCGCGGUAAGGUACGUAUGUCCCGAGACGCUUAUCUACGGAUUUAUUGGGCGCCACACAUUGCGAGCGCAGACGGUUGAUUAAGUCCUUUGAAGUGAUAAGCCCUGGAGCUCAAAACCCCGCAAUGGCGAAAAAAAAAAAGGGGGAACUUGAGUCCCCCCAAGUAGAGGUAAGUGGAACUCCAUGUGUAGCGGUGGAAUGCGUAGAUAUAUGGAAGAACACCAGUGGCGAAGGCGGCUUACUGGACUGUAACUGACGUUGAGGCUCGAAAGUGUGGGUAGCAAACAGGAUUAGAUACCCUGGUAGUCCACACCGUAAACGAUGAACACUAGGUGUUAGGAGGUUUCCGCCUCUUAGUGCCGAAGCUAACGCAUUAAGUGUUCCGCCUGGGGAGUACGACCGCAAGGUUGAAACUCAAAGGAAUUGACGGGGACCCGCACAAGCGGUGGAGCAUGUGGUUUAAUUCGAAGCAACGCGAAGAACCUUACCAGGUCUUGACAUCCUUUGAAGCUUUUAGAGAUAGAAGUGUUCUCUUCGGAGACAAAGUGACAGGUGGUGCAUGGUCGUCGUCAGCUCGUGUCGUGAGAUGUUGGGUUAAGUCCCGCAACGAGCGCAACCCUUAUUGUUAGUUGCCAGCAUUCAGAUGGGCACUCUAGCGAGACUGCCGGUGACAAACCGGAGGAAGGCGGGGACGACGUCAGAUCAUCAUGCCCCUUAUGACCUGGGCUACACACGUGCUACAAUGGCGUAUACAACGAGUUGCCAACCCGCGAGGGUGAGCUAAUCUCUUAAAGUACGUCUCAGUUCGGAUUGUAGUCUGCAACUCGACUACAUGAAGUCGGAAUCGCUAGUAAUCGCGGAUCAGCACGCCGCGGUGAAUACGUUCCCGGGUCUUGUACACACCGCCCGUCACACCAUGGGAGUUUGUAAUGUCUCUCAAAGCGCGCCGGCGCUAACAGAAGUGGAAGCAACGGUACAUAGAAGAGUUAGGG